This 176-nucleotide small RNA is filed under the name Vigna angularis var. angularis. RNAcentral's name for it is "Non-protein coding transcript". Lineage: Eukaryota; Viridiplantae; Streptophyta; Magnoliopsida; Fabales; Fabaceae. The record is from RNAcentral.
UUUAAAUCGUAAGAGUCCAGUUUCGCCAUUUUCUCCCGAACAUUGUGGCACCCUCUGUGCAGAACUUGCACACUCGCAGUCAGCUCUUCACCACCUCACUCACGGAGAUCACCACCCCGGUAAUUAGGGAUUCACUUCGGCAUCUACUUUUGUGUUCGUUAUUGGCUUAAUUUCUC